ACCGGUUGAUCCUGCCAGCGGUCACCGCUCUUGGAAUCCGACUAAGCCAUGCGAGUCGAGAGGGUUCGGCCCUCGGCGCACCGCUCAGUAACACGUGGAUAACCUACCCUGGAGUGGGGGAUAAUCUCGGAAACCUGAGGAUAAUACCCCAUAGGCCUUUGGUACUGGAAUGUUCUUAGGCCCAAAGUUACGGCGCUCCAGGAUGGGUCUGCGGCCUAUCAGGUAGUAGUGAGUGUAAAGGACUCACUAGCCGACAACGGGUACGGGCCAUGGGAGUGGUAGCCCGGAGAUGGAUUCUGAGACACGAAUCCAGGCCCUACGGGGCGCAGCAGGCGCGAAAACUUCGCAAUGCGCGAAAGCGCGACGAGGGGAUUCCAAGUGCAUGCACUUAGUGCAUGCUGUUUGCUAGUCUAAAUAGCUAGUAGAGUAAGGGCUGGGUAAGACUGGUGCCAGCCGCCGCGGUAAUACCAGCGGCCCGAGUGGUGAUCGUUAUUAUUGGGUCUAAAGCGUCCGUAGCCGGCCCGGUAAAUCUCUGGGUAAAUCGUUGGGCUCAACCCAGCGAAUUCUAGGGAGACUGCCGGGCUUGGGACCGGGAGAGGUCGGAGGUACUCCGAGGGUAGGGGUGAAAUCCUGUAAUCCUUGGGGGACCACCGGUGGCGAAGGCGUCCGACCAGAACGGGUCCGACGGUAAGGGACGAAGCCCUGGGGCGCGAACCGGAUUAGAUACCCGGGUAGUCCAGGGUGUAAACGCUGUGCGCUUGGUGUUGGGGGUCCUUUGAGGCAAUCCAGUGCGGGAGAGAA
This 801-nucleotide ribosomal RNA is filed under the name uncultured Thermoplasmata archaeon. RNAcentral's name for it is "bacterial SSU rRNA". It matches the Rfam family "Archaeal small subunit ribosomal RNA", at positions 1 to 810 of the family's 1478-position model. Lineage: Archaea; Methanobacteriati; Thermoplasmatota; Thermoplasmata. The record is from RNAcentral.